RNAcentral lists this ribosomal RNA (451 nucleotides) under uncultured bacterium. RNAcentral's name for it is "bacterial SSU rRNA". It matches the Rfam family "Bacterial small subunit ribosomal RNA", at positions 29 to 524 of the family's 1533-position model. The record is from RNAcentral.
AGCGAACGCUGGCGGCAGGCUUAACACAUGCAAGUCGAGCGGGCGUAGCAAUACGUCAGCGGCAGACGGGUGAGUAACGCGUGGGAACGUACCUUUUGGUUCGGAACAACACAGGGAAACUUGUGCUAAUACCGGAUAAGCCCUUACGGGGAAAGAUUUAUCGCCGAAAGAUCGGCCCGCGUCUGAUUAGCUAGUUGGUGUGGUAACGGCGCACCAAGGCGACGAUCAGUAGCUGGCUGAGAGGAUGAUCAGCCACAUUGGGACUGAGACACGGCCCAAACUCCUACGGGAGGCAGCAGUGGGGAAUAUUGGACAAUGGGCGCAAGCCUGAUCCAGCCAUGCCGCGUGAGUGAUGAAGGCCCUAGGGCUGUAAAACUCUUUCGACGGGGACGAUAAUGACGGUACCCGUAGAAGAAGCUCCGGCUAACUUCGUGCCAGCAGCCGCAGUAAG